CUGGCCCUGAAUCAAGGCCAGCAACUUCCUGACACUGUUGAUUUCAAGCAGGAGCUUAAAGAGAUAUCUUUGUAUGGUCUGUUGACCCUUUCAGAACUCGGGCAGUGAAAUGAUCAAUUCAUUAGAAAGAAACAACU
This is a small nucleolar RNA of Cavia porcellus (domestic guinea pig), 137 nucleotides long. Lineage: Eukaryota; Metazoa; Chordata; Mammalia; Rodentia; Caviidae. The record is from Ensembl.